RNAcentral lists this ribosomal RNA (435 nucleotides) under uncultured bacterium. RNAcentral's name for it is "partial 16S ribosomal RNA". It matches the Rfam family "Bacterial small subunit ribosomal RNA", at positions 29 to 507 of the family's 1533-position model. The record is from RNAcentral.
AGCGAACGCUGGCGGCAGGCCUAACACAUGCAAGUCGAGCGGACAUCUUCGGAUGUUAGCGGCGGACGGGUGAGUAACGCGUGGGAACGUGCCCUUUGCUUCGGAAUAGCCUCGGGAAACUGGGAGUAAUACCGGAUGUACCCUUUGGGGGAAAGAUUUAUCGGCAAAGGAUCGGCCCGCGUUGGAUUAGGUAGUUGGUGGGGUAAUGGCCUACCAAGCCGACGAUCCAUAGCUGGUUUGAGAGGAUGAUCAGCCACACUGGGACUGAGACACGGCCCAGACUCCUACGGGAGGCAGCAGUGGGGAAUCUUAGACAAUGGGGGAAACCCUGAUCUAGCCAUGCCGCGUGAGCGAUGAAGGCCUUAGGGUUGUAAAGCUCUUUCACCGGGGAAGAUAAUGACGGUACCCGGAGAAGAAGCCCCGGCUAACUCCGUG